Molecule: ribosomal RNA, 497 nt
Filed under: uncultured bacterium
Lineage: Bacteria
Description: partial 16S ribosomal RNA
Rfam family: Bacterial small subunit ribosomal RNA
Source: RNAcentral
GAUGAACGCUGGCGGCGUGCCUAAUACAUGCAAGUCGAGCGAACAGAUGAGGAGCUUGCUCCUCUGACGUUAGCGGCGGACGGGUGAGUAACACGUGGAUAACCUACCUAUAAGACUGGGAUAACUUCGGGAAACCGGAGCUAAUACCGGAUAAUAUAUUGAACCGCAUGGUUCAAUAGUGAAAGACGGUUUUGCUGUCACUUAUAGAUGGAUCCGCGCCGCAUUAGCUAGUUGGUAAGGUAACGGCUUACCAAGGCAACGAUGCGUAGCCGACCUGAGAGGGGGGUCGGCCACAACGGAACUGGGGCCAGGGCCAAACUCCUUCGGGAGGCAGCCGUAGGGAAUCUUUCCGCAUGGGGCGAAAGCCUGCCGGGCCACGGCGCCUGGGUGAAGAAGGUCUUUCGGUUCUAAAACUCCGUUAAUAGGGAAAGAAAAAAGUGUUAGUAAACAUUCAACUUUUGGCCGUUACUUAUCCAAAAGGCACCGGUUACCUCCUG